Molecule: unclassified non-coding RNA, 1081 nt
Filed under: Leptinotarsa decemlineata (Colorado potato beetle)
Lineage: Eukaryota; Metazoa; Arthropoda; Insecta; Coleoptera; Chrysomelidae
Description: uncharacterized LOC111517938, transcript variant X2
Source: RNAcentral
UUUAUUUUCAGUCAUCUGUUAUUGUUUUAAAGGAGUUAAACUUGUUUCAAUCACAUUAUUCUUCUUUAGUAUUUCAGAAUUUUUAUUCGUUUCAAAUAUAAUCUUAUUUUUUAAUACGUAUCACAUUUGCACAUUUGGACGUGACAGUUCAGAAAAUAGAUUACUUCUCAAGUCAACGAAAAAUUCAAGUUUUUGAACAAGCUAAGUUGUAUAUUUUUUUGGUCCAUUAAAAUAGAGUUUUCGGUUAUUGGUUUGUGGUUCUGUUAUCAGUUGACUUCAUCCUAAUAUGAUUGAAAAGCUAGAACUGGGUAUCAAUUGUGAACGUCAAGUGUAGGAAGUUAGUGUCCAGUUGCAGAAGAGCUAAUCCCUAGAAUGAGAGGACGUUGAGCCAAAAAAUGUGCCAACUUUCAGUAUUUGGAUCCGAUGGUUUUAAGAAGUAACAUGAAAUAUGGAAAUGUCGGAGGUGAUUUCAAGAAACCGUUGAGAAGUAUCAGAGACCAAUAAAUCAAUAGCCAGCUUUGACUGCGGAAGGCAGAAGUGAUUGAUGAAAGUGCUCCAAAUCAAUAAACCAAUGAGGAUCCGUAUGAACCUGAAAGUCAAAGGCCUGAUGCUGCUUCAUUUCGAGUCCCAAAUUUUCAGGUGGUGUUUUCUGAUACGUGUGGACGUGUGUGGUCGUGGAGCAGGAUCGAACCUCUUCUGAUGACCAGUGCCGGCUGCUGCUGACGCAAUUUUUGGUAUAUUUCCUCACAAAAGGACCAUGCCGUGAUGGUUUGGCCCUGUUUCAGAAAGUUAUGGGAAGUGCCUGGAUGGCUCAUCGGUGUUCAACCGCUGUCCUGAACGUCUCCUGUCACGUCAUUAUAUGUGACGAUCCGAGCCAAAAAAGGAUAAUUUUGGUUGCGCAAAAGCAAAGAAGAACAUAUCUCGAAACGUGACAAUUUUUGUCGAUCGUUCAAAUUGUGGAGCAGCCAAUUUUCGAGCUUUUUGACCUUUCCAUUACGUUUCAAACCAUCAAAGACGGCAUGAAAGCUGAUGCUCAGUUCUUUCGCCAUCCCACGCAUCGUUUGUGAUGGGUCGGUCUCCU